This 429-nucleotide ribosomal RNA is filed under the name bacterium. RNAcentral describes it as "partial 16S ribosomal RNA". It matches the Rfam family "Bacterial small subunit ribosomal RNA", at positions 355 to 776 of the family's 1533-position model. The record is from RNAcentral.
UAGGGAAUCUUCCACAAUGGACGCAAGUCUGAUGGAGCAACGCCGCGUGAGUGAAGAAGGUUUUCGGAUCGUAAAGCUCUGUUGUUGGUGAAGAAGGAUAGAGGCAGUAACUGGUCUUUAUUUGACGGUAAUCAACCAGAAAGUCACGGCUAACUACGUGCCAGCAGCCGCGGUAAUACGUAGGCGGCAAGCGUUGUCCGGAUUUAUUGGGCGUAAAGCGAGCGCAGGCGGAAUGAUAAGUCUGAUGUGAAAGCCCACGGCUCAACCGUGGAACUGCAUCGGAAACUGUCAUUCUUGAGUGCAGAAGAGGAGAAUGGAAUUCCAUGUGUAGCGGUGGAAUGCGUAGAUAUAUGGAGGAACACCAGUGGCGAAGGCGGCUCUCUGGUCUGCAACUGACGCUGAGGCUCGAAAGCAUGGGUAGCGAACAGG